Molecule: ribosomal RNA, 279 nt
Filed under: uncultured bacterium
Lineage: Bacteria
Description: partial 16S ribosomal RNA
Rfam family: Bacterial small subunit ribosomal RNA
Source: RNAcentral
UGCCAGCCGCCGCGGUAAUACGGAGGGUGCAAGCGUUAUCCGGAAUCACUGGGUUUAAAGGGUGCGUAGGCGGCUAGAUAAGUCAGAGGUGAAAGUUUGCAGCUUAACUGUAAAAUUGCCUUUGAUACUGUUUAGCUUGAAUUAGGUUGAGGUUAGCGGAAUGUGACAUGUAGCGGUGAAAUGCAUAGAUAUGUCAUAGAACACCAAUUGCGAAGGCAGCUGGCUAGACCUAUAUUGACGCUGAGGCACGAAAGCGUGGGGAGCGAACAGGAUUAGAUA